This 76-nucleotide transfer RNA is filed under the name candidate division Zixibacteria bacterium 4484_95. RNAcentral describes it as "tRNA-Arg". It matches the Rfam family "tRNA". Rfam says of the family: Transfer RNA (tRNA) molecules are approximately 80 nucleotides in length. Their secondary structure includes four short double-helical elements and three loops (D, anti-codon, and T loops). The record is from RNAcentral. Lineage: Bacteria; Pseudomonadati; Candidatus Zixiibacteriota. RNAcentral also lists the same sequence under 1 other name.
GCCCCCGUAGCUCAGGUGGAUAGAGCAACGGCCUCCGGAGCCGUGUGCGGCCGUUCGAAUCGGCCCGGGGGUACUA